GGGUCGAUGCCCGAGUGGUCAAUGGGGACGGACUGUAAAUUCGUUGGCAAUAUGUCUACGCUGGUUCAAAUCCAGCUCGGCCCAA
Molecule: transfer RNA, 85 nt
Filed under: Cabomba caroliniana
Lineage: Eukaryota; Viridiplantae; Streptophyta; Magnoliopsida; Nymphaeales; Cabombaceae
Description: tRNA-Tyr
Rfam family: tRNA
About the family: Transfer RNA (tRNA) molecules are approximately 80 nucleotides in length. Their secondary structure includes four short double-helical elements and three loops (D, anti-codon, and T loops). Further hydrogen bonds mediate the characteristic L-shaped molecular structure. tRNAs have two regions of fundamental functional importance: the anti-codon, which is responsible for specific mRNA codon recognition, and the 3' end, to which the tRNAs corresponding amino acid is attached (by aminoacyl-tRNA synthetases). tRNAs cope with the degeneracy of the genetic code in two manners: having more than one tRNA (with a specific anti-codon) for a particular amino acid; and 'wobble' base-pairing, i.e. permitting non-standard base-pairing at the 3rd anti-codon position.
Source: RNAcentral